AGCCAGGUUGGUUUCUAUCCCCAAUUUUUAUAUAAUUUUUAGUACGAAAGGACCAUUUUUAUAAAAGAUUUUUUAUAGUUGAUUAAUAUUA
This 91-nucleotide ribosomal RNA is filed under the name Coryphagrion grandis. Its description in RNAcentral is "partial 16S ribosomal RNA". The record is from RNAcentral. Lineage: Eukaryota; Metazoa; Arthropoda; Insecta; Odonata; Coenagrionidae.